AUUGAACGCUGGCGGAAUGCUUUACACAUGCAAGUUGAACGGCAGCACGGGGCAACCUGGUGGCGAGUGGCGAACGGGUGAGUAAUAUAUCGGAACGUGCCCAAUCGUGGGGGAUAACGUAGCGAAAGUUACGCUAAUACCGCAUACGAUCUACGGAUGAAAGCGGGGGAUCGCAAGACCUCGCGCGAAUGGAGCGGCCGAUAUCAGAUUAGGUAGUUGGUGGGGUAAAGGCUCACCAAGCCAACGAUCUGUAGCUGGUCUGAGAGGACGACCAGCCACACUGGAACUGAGACACGGUCCAGACUCCUACGGGAGGCAGCAGUGGGGAAUUUUGGGACAAUGGGCGCAAGCCUGACU
Molecule: ribosomal RNA, 357 nt
Filed under: uncultured bacterium
Lineage: Bacteria
Description: bacterial SSU rRNA
Rfam family: Bacterial small subunit ribosomal RNA
Source: RNAcentral